Zingiber officinale is the source of this 633-nucleotide long non-coding RNA. RefSeq lists it as uncharacterized. Lineage: Eukaryota; Viridiplantae; Streptophyta; Magnoliopsida; Zingiberales; Zingiberaceae. The transcript has 3 exons. The record is from RefSeq and is a predicted model, not a curated record.
GAUUUCGAUCGAUUGGGUGAUGUUCUUCAUUGAUUAUUCUUGUUGGAUUAGAGGAAGCAUCGGAUAGCUGUUUUAGGGCUUAGACCUUCUUCUCUAUAGACUAAUCCUCCUCUGUUCUUGAUCCUCCUCUUCUUGAGGUUGAUUUAGGUCACGGAUUGGGCAAUUUCUUUUGGAGACAACCGAUUGAGUGAGGUUAUGUGCUCCUGCGGUGGAUCUAGAAUUGGGUUCUGUGGCAGCUUGGUUUCCAGCAGUGUUCUGUGAGGUUGCUUAUUGUUGGUCCGACAGCACCCACAACCGGUAGCUCCUCUAGUUCCAGCAUCAACAGUUGCUGGAAAUUGAGGAUUCUGAUUCGAGAUGGGCGUCUCGAAGUUGACAUUGGAUUAGGAUUGGAUUGUACCUUCUAUUUGAGGCGGGUACCCUUUGACUUAUCUUUUGAUACUGUCUUAUGAUAUGUGCACUUUAUAUAUAUAAUUACUAGUGAUGGGUAGAUUUAUCACUUCCUUGGUUAUAGUUUAUUCGAUACUUGUAGGCGGUUACUAAUGAUUGGUAGUUUUAGUACUUCCCCUGGUUUUAGCUAGUUGAUACCUAUCACAUGCUUCAUCUGCUAGUUGCUUUACUUCAGGAUUGGAUAUU